GAUGAACGCUGGCGGCGUGCCUAAUACAUGCAAGUCGAGCGAACAGACGAGGAGCUUGCUUCUCUGAUGUUAGCGGCGGACGGGUGAGUAACACGUGGAUAACCUACCUAUAAGACUGGGAUAACUUCGGGAAACCGGAGCUAAUACCGGAUAAUAUUUUGAACCGCAUGGUUCAAUAGUGAAAGACGGUCUUGCUGUCACUUAUAGAUGGAUCCGCGCUGCAUUAGCUAGUUGGUAAGGUAACGGCUUACCAAGGCAACGAUGCAUAGCCGACCUGAGAGGGUGAUCGGCCACACUGGAACUGAGACACGGUCCAGACUCCUACGGGAGGCAGCAGUAGGGAAUCUUCCGCAAUGGGCGAAAGCCUGACGGAGCAACGCCGCGUGAGUGAUGAAGGUCUUCGGAUCGUAAAACUCUGUUAUUAGGGAAGAACAUAUGUGUAAGUAACUGUGCACAUCUUGACGGUACCUAAUCAGAAAGCCACGGCUAACUACGUG
Molecule: ribosomal RNA, 497 nt
Filed under: uncultured bacterium
Lineage: Bacteria
Description: partial 16S ribosomal RNA
Rfam family: Bacterial small subunit ribosomal RNA
Source: RNAcentral